Molecule: ribosomal RNA, 253 nt
Filed under: uncultured bacterium
Lineage: Bacteria
Description: partial 16S ribosomal RNA
Rfam family: Bacterial small subunit ribosomal RNA
Source: RNAcentral
UACAGAGGGUGCGAGCGUUAAUCGGAAUUACUGGGCGUAAAGCGUGCGUAGACGGUUAUUUAAGUCGGAUGUGAAAGCCCCGGGCUCAACCUGGGAAUUGCAUUCGAGACUGAAUAGCUAGGGUGCGGUAGAGGGAAGCGGAAUUUCCGGUGUAGCGGUGAAAUGCGUAGAUAUCGGAAGGAACAUCAGUGGCGAAAGCGGCUUCCUGGACCAGUACCGACGUUCAGGCACGAAAGCGUGGGGAGCAAACAGG